UGUUAUUUUGUGUGACAGAAAGAGGAUAACAUCUUUUGUUAUUUUAGCGUUAAAUAUACUAAUCCACUUUAUCGUUCUUAUGUUCAGUACUAGUGACAUCAAUAGGUAUACAAUAUCAGGUGAUGAGUGAUGGAGGUGAAUGUACUGAUGACUGUCUGUUAAUUGACUGAUCACUUCCUGACAUUGACCUGCUGAUGGUUUAGUGAGGGAUACUUUAUAACUGGUCCACUUCACCUUUCCAGUCUCUUCUCCUAAUAAUAAACACAGUGAUGCUGGUUUUUGUACCAGUAAGUCAUUACAGCUGCUAGAAUGGAAUGGGUGUGGUCUAUCUUUUAUCAUGUGAUAGUAAACAAAAAUCAAUUUCCUUGGUCCAUUAUUCCAGUAUAUAAUUCUGUGGACAACAGAACU
This is a long non-coding RNA of Amphimedon queenslandica, 408 nucleotides long. RefSeq lists it as uncharacterized. The transcript has 3 exons. NCBI's taxonomy places the organism in Eukaryota, Metazoa, Porifera, Demospongiae, Haplosclerida, Niphatidae. The record is from RefSeq and is a predicted model, not a curated record.